CUACGGGUGGCACCAGUGAGGAAUAUUGCACAAUGGGGGGAACCCUGAUGCAGCAACGCCGCGUGGAGGAUGACGCAUUUCGGUGUGUAAACUCCUUUUAUAUGUCAAGAAAAUGACGGUAGCAUAUGAAUAAGCACCGGCUAACUCCGUGCCAGCAGCCGCGGUAAUACGGAGGGUGCAAGCGUUACUCGGAAUCCCUGGGCGUAAAGGACGCGUAGGCGGUUUGGAAAGUCAGGUGUGAAAUCCUACAGCUUCACUGUAGAACUGCACUUGAAACUUCUAAUCUAGAGUAUGGGAGGGGGGGAUGGAAUUAGUGGUGUAGGGGUAAAAUCCGUAGAUAUCACUAGGAAUACCUAAAGCGAAGGCGAUCUCCUGGAACAUUACUGACGCUAAGGCGUGAAAGCGUGGGGAGCAAACAGGAUUAGAUACCCCUGUAGUC
This 439-nucleotide ribosomal RNA is filed under the name uncultured bacterium. Its description in RNAcentral is "partial 16S ribosomal RNA". It matches the Rfam family "Bacterial small subunit ribosomal RNA", at positions 339 to 795 of the family's 1533-position model. The record is from RNAcentral.